CGGACCGACGGGAGCUUGCUCCCUUAGGUCAGCGGCGGACGGGUGAGUAACACGUGGGUAACCUGCCUGUAAGACUGGGAUAACUCCGGGAAACCGGGGCUAAUACCGGAUGCUUGAUUGAACCGCAUGGUUCAAUUAUAAAAGGUGGCUUUUAGCUACCACUUACAGAUGGACCCGCGGCGCAUUAGCUAGUUGGUGAGGUAACGGCUCACCAAGGCAACGAUGCGUAGCCGACCUGAGAGGGUGAUCGGCCACACUGGGACUGAGACACGGCCCAGACUCCUACGGGAGGCAGCAGUAGGGAAUCUUCCGCAAUGGACGAAAGUCUGACGGAGCAACGCCGCGUGAGUGAUGAAGGUUUUCGGAUCGUAAAACUCUGUUGUUAGGGAAGAACAAGUACCGUUCGAAUAGGGCGGUACCUUGACGGUACCUAACCAGAAAGCCACGGCUAACUACGUGCCAGCAGCCGCGGUAAUACGUAGGUGGCAAGCGUUGUCCGGAAUUAUUGGGCGUAAAGCGCGCGCAGGCGGUUUCUUAAGUCUGAUGUGAAAGCCCCCGGCUCAACCGGGGAGGGUCAUUGGAAACUGGGGAACUUGAGUGCAGAAGAGGAGAGUGGAAUUCCACGUGUAGCGGUGAAAUGCGUAGAGAUGUGGAGGAACACCAGUGGCGAAGGCGACUCUCUGGUCUGUAACUGACGCUGAGGCGCGAAAGCGUGGGGAGCGAACAGGAUUAGAUACCCUGGUAGUCCACGCCGUAAACGAUGAGUGCUAAGUGUUAGAGGGUUUCCGCCCUUUAGUGCUGCAGCAAACGCAUUAAGCACUCCGCCUGGGGGAGUACG
Molecule: ribosomal RNA, 838 nt
Filed under: Bacillus haynesii
Lineage: Bacteria; Bacillati; Bacillota; Bacilli; Caryophanales; Bacillaceae
Description: bacterial SSU rRNA
Rfam family: Bacterial small subunit ribosomal RNA
Source: RNAcentral